GGAUGUGAAGGUGAGAAUGUUCGGGCGUUGACUGCUGAUCCAGCACGUGCAGAGUCCUCUGCGUUUCAGUGUUCCUUGCUGCGUAGCAUCUAACAAAGGCGUCUUCUGCAUCUCUGAGUAGAGAGAACACUACCCUGCCCGGGUGAAGUUCCUUUCUCAUGUCUGGAAUAUCUACAGUUCUGGAACCGCAGGCAUGGUGAAACCCGUUGACACCUAAAGCCACAAGGCCUGCAGGUGAUUUGUUGGUUAACAAGAGAGAAACCAAGACACUCAUACAGGGGAAAUCCAGCGCACAUCUGUGCGCGGAACAAUUCUUUCUGACUAAAGUUCUCCAAAGUCUGGCUAGCUUGGCCUCACUGGGAAUGGGGAACAUAGUCCCAUGCGCUCCCAUGUCCUGAAGAAAUCUUCCACUUGGACCUGAAGAUCUUUUAUUCAGUCCACAACAGUGGUUAUCAACCUUCCUGAUGCUGCAAGUCUUUAAUACAUUUCCUUGUGUUAUGGUGACACCCUCCCCCAAUAAAAUAAUUUCAUUGCCA
Molecule: long non-coding RNA, 536 nt
Filed under: Mus caroli (Ryukyu mouse)
Lineage: Eukaryota; Metazoa; Chordata; Mammalia; Rodentia; Muridae
Description: lncRNA (MGP_CAROLIEiJ_G0006488.1)
Source: RNAcentral